This 253-nucleotide ribosomal RNA is filed under the name uncultured bacterium. RNAcentral describes it as "partial 16S ribosomal RNA". It matches the Rfam family "Bacterial small subunit ribosomal RNA", at positions 524 to 776 of the family's 1533-position model. The record is from RNAcentral.
UACGGAGGGGGCUAGCGUUGUUCGGAAUUACUGGGCGUAAAGGGCGCGUAGGCGGUACUUCAAGUCAGGCGUGAAAGCCCCGGGCUCAACCUGGGAACCGCGCUUGAGACUGGAGAACUAGAGUUCGGGAGAGGAUGGUGGAAUUCCCAGUGUAGAGGUGAAAUUCGUAGAUAUUGGGAAGAACACCGAUGGCGAAGGCAGCCAUCUGGACCGACACUGACGCUGAGGCGCGAAAGCGUGGGGAGCAAACAGG